This 465-nucleotide ribosomal RNA is filed under the name uncultured bacterium. RNAcentral describes it as "partial 16S ribosomal RNA". It matches the Rfam family "Bacterial small subunit ribosomal RNA", at positions 28 to 507 of the family's 1533-position model. The record is from RNAcentral.
GACGAACGCUGGCGGCGUGCUUAACACAUGCAAGUCGAACGGAAAGGCCCUGCUUGCAGGGUACUCGAGUGGCGAACGGGUGAGUAACACGUGGGUGAUCUGCCCUGCACUUCGGGAUAAGCCUGGGAAACUGGGUCUAAUACCGGAUAGGAGCCAUUUUUAGUGUGAUGGUUGGAAAGUUUUUUCGGUGUAGGAUGAGCUCGCGGCCUAUCAGCUUGUUGGUGGGGUAAUGGCCUACCAAGGCGGCGACGGGUAGCCGGCCUGAGAGGGUGGACGGCCACAUUGGGACUGAGAUACGGCCCAGACUCCGACGGGAGGCAGCAGUGGGGAAUAUUGCACAAGGGGCGCCAGCCUGAUGCAGCGACGCCGCGGGGGGGAUGACGGCCUUCGGGUUGAAAACUCCUUUCGCUAGGGACGAAGCUUUUUGUGACGGUACCUAGAUAAGAAGCACCGGCUAACUACGUG